This 523-nucleotide ribosomal RNA is filed under the name Cystofilobasidium infirmominiatum. Its description in RNAcentral is "eukaryotic LSU rRNA". It matches the Rfam family "Eukaryotic large subunit ribosomal RNA", at positions 142 to 657 of the family's 3401-position model. The record is from RNAcentral. Lineage: Eukaryota; Fungi; Basidiomycota; Tremellomycetes; Cystofilobasidiales; Cystofilobasidiaceae.
AUUGUAAUCUCGAGAAGUGUUUUCCGCGUUGGCCUGUGUACAAGUCCCUUGGAACAGGGCGUCAUAGAGGGUGAGAAUCCCGUCCUUGACACAGACACCCAAUGCUUUGUGAUACACUCUCAAUGAGUCGAGUUGUUUGGGAAUGCAGCUCAAAAUGGGUGGUAAAUUCCAUCUAAAGCUAAAUACUGGCGAGAGACCGAUAGCGAACAAGUACCGUGAGGGAAAGAUGAAAAGCACUUUGGAAAGAGAGUCAAACAGUACGUGAAAUUGUUGAAAGGGAAACGAUUGAAGUCAGUCGUGCCUGCCUAGAUUCAGCCUUCUGGUGUAUUUCUAGGUCGGCAGGUCAGCAUCAGUUUGGGGGGGUUAACAAGGGAGCUGGGAAUGUGGCAACCUCGGUUGUGUUAUAGCCCAGUUUCGCAUUGAUCUCGCUGGACUGAGGAACGCAGUGCGCCCGCAAGGGUUGGUCUUCGGACACAUUCGCACUUAGGAUGCUGGCAUAAUGGCUUUAAACGACCCGUCUUGA